GCUCAAUGGUUGAGCACAAGAUUAGGGAUCUUGCUGUGCGGGUUCGAAUCCCGC
RNAcentral lists this transfer RNA (54 nucleotides) under Hyphomicrobium sulfonivorans. It matches the Rfam family "tRNA", at positions 10 to 63 of the family's 71-position model. From Rfam's summary of the family: Transfer RNA (tRNA) molecules are approximately 80 nucleotides in length. Their secondary structure includes four short double-helical elements and three loops (D, anti-codon, and T loops). Further hydrogen bonds mediate the characteristic L-shaped molecular structure. tRNAs have two regions of fundamental functional importance: the anti-codon, which is responsible for specific mRNA codon recognition, and the 3' end, to which the tRNAs corresponding amino acid is attached (by aminoacyl-tRNA synthetases). tRNAs cope with the degeneracy of the genetic code in two manners: having more than one tRNA (with a specific anti-codon) for a particular amino acid; and 'wobble' base-pairing, i.e. permitting non-standard base-pairing at the 3rd anti-codon position. The record is from Rfam by way of RNAcentral. Lineage: Bacteria; Pseudomonadati; Pseudomonadota; Alphaproteobacteria; Hyphomicrobiales; Hyphomicrobiaceae.